Molecule: transfer RNA, 69 nt
Filed under: Coptotermes elisae
Lineage: Eukaryota; Metazoa; Arthropoda; Insecta; Blattodea; Rhinotermitidae
Description: tRNA-Phe
Source: RNAcentral
ACUCAAAUAGCUUAAUUGUUUAGAGCGCGACGCUGAAGAUGUCGAUGAGGUUUUAUUGACCUUUGAGUG